This 938-nucleotide unclassified non-coding RNA is filed under the name Hevea brasiliensis (rubber tree). Lineage: Eukaryota; Viridiplantae; Streptophyta; Magnoliopsida; Malpighiales; Euphorbiaceae. The record is from RNAcentral.
GAGAGAUCUUCCAUUAACGCGGCUUGUGAAGGAAGACGAAGGAGGAGUCUAUGUAAGGCGUCGAGAGGAAGUUUUGUCGAUCUCCUUUGAGGCAGUGUCUUGUAUAAGAGGAUGGUGAGAACGCCGUGCUGUGAGAAGGAAGGACUGAGAAGAGGCCGUUGGACGGCGGAGGAAGACGAGAAACUCAAGAAGUACAUAGAAGUGUACGGCGAAGGUUCAUGGAGAUCGUUGCCGAAGAAUGCUGGGCUGUUGAGGUGCGGAAAGAGUUGUAGGUUAAGAUGGAUUAAUUACUUGAGAACAGAUUUGAAGAGAGGGAAUAUCACUCCUCAAGAAGACGAAACUAUUCUCAAAUUGCAUACAACUCUCGGAAAUCGGUGGUCACUGAUCGCUGGGCAUCUACCCGGACGAACCGAUAACGAAAUAAAAAACUACUGGAAUUCUCAUUUGAGUAAGAAAAUCUACAGCACCGCCAAAAAGGAUGCUCCCCAAAAAUCUGGUAUUUCAAAGCGAGCCAGAAGCCAUGGCCGACCAAACAACAAACUUAUACUCAAGAAGGAUAAGACGACAAUACCAAAAGAAAGUUCCGAAUCUAAUUCCAUAGCUGAAGAAGAACCUGAAACCACCAACCCUAAAGAAGAACAGGCUACCAGUUCAGGAAAGGAACAAAGUACGAGUGACCAAAAUUCAACAACGAAGGAUCCAAAAAUAGAGGAAGAAAAUUGGGAAUUGACGACUGAUGGUGAGAAACGAGAAUACGGGGUGUUAAGUACGAUUAUAGAUAGUGGGGAAUGGUUUUACUCAGCUUGGCCUUCUUCUUCAUCGAUGAAUUCCAACUUUAAUAAUGAAUGGAUGAAUUGGGACUGGGAAGGUGAUGGGGUUUUAGGUCAGAAUGUAUGUGAGAAUUUCAAAGAGCCAUCGUCUUGGUUUUGGGCUAAUAG